Molecule: ribosomal RNA, 497 nt
Filed under: uncultured bacterium
Lineage: Bacteria
Description: partial 16S ribosomal RNA
Rfam family: Bacterial small subunit ribosomal RNA
Source: RNAcentral
GAUGAACGCUGGCGGCGUGCCUAAUACAUGCAAGUCGAGCGAACAGACGAGGAGCUUGCUCCUCUGACGUUAGCGGCGGACGGGUGAGUAACACGUGGAUAACCUACCUAUAAGACUGGGAUAACUUCGGGAAACCGGAGCUAAUACCGGAUAACAUGUUGAACCGCAUGGUUCAACAGUGAAAGACGGUCUUGCUGUCACUUAUAGAUGGAUCCGCGCCGCAUUAGCUAGUUGGUAAGGUAACGGCUUACCAAGGCAACGAUGCGUAGCCGACCUGAGAGGGGGGACGGCCCCACAGGGACUGAGGCCCGGGGCCGAACCCCAAGGGGGGGAAGAGGUGGGGAAUUUUCGGAAAGGGGGGAAAUCCUACAGGGGCAACGCCGGGGGGUGGAAAAAGGCUUUCGGACUGGAAACCCCUUUUUUGGGGAAAGAAAAAAUGGUAAAGUAACCUUGCCCGUCUGGAGGGACCCAAAUCAAAAAGCCCGGGCUAACUACGG